RNAcentral lists this ribosomal RNA (543 nucleotides) under Triticum aestivum (bread wheat). RNAcentral describes it as "partial small subunit ribosomal RNA". Lineage: Eukaryota; Viridiplantae; Streptophyta; Magnoliopsida; Poales; Poaceae. The record is from RNAcentral.
AUGUGCAGGGUGAAGACUCUGCCACAUCGUGUCAGUUCUCUAAACCUUACACGUCGAGGUUUGGUAGGACAUAUAUCUCCUUCACUUGGGAACCUAUCAUUCCUACAUUCUCUAGCCCUGGUGGAAAACACACUCACUGGGGAGAUUCCACCCUCCCUUGGUCACCUGCGUCGUCUCCAAACUCUCCGCUUGAGAAAGAACAUGCUACAAGGAAGGAUACCAAGUUUUGCAAACUGCUCAAAGCUCAGGGUGCUGGAUGUUUCAUACAACAAUCUAGUUGGCCAAUUUCCUACUGAGUUGCCUCCUCGCCUUCAGGUGCUGCGUGUUGGGACUAAUAACCUUACUGUCACCAUCCCAACUUCUCCUGUCAAUAUAACGAAACUAACCACCAUUAGCUGCCUGAAUAAUCAAAUCAAAGGAAAUAUCCCAAGUGAGUUUGCAGAUCUGCCCAGCUUGCAGUACCUGUAUGCAGGUGGCAAUCAGCUGGCAGGCAGCUUUCCACAAGCCAUCUUGAAUCUUUCUACUCUUAUUGACCUACCCUGA